CCUACGGGUGACAGCAGUGAGGAAUAUUGGUCAAUGGGCGUAAGCCUGAACCAGCCAAGUCGCGUGCGGGAUGAAGGUUCUAUGGAUCGUAAACUUCUUUUAUAAGGGAAUAAAGUGCGGCACGCGUCCCGUUUUGUAUGUACCUUAUGAAUAAGGAUCGGCUAACUCCGUGCCAGCAGCCGCGGUAAUACGGAGGAUCCGAGCGUUAUCCGGAUUUAUUGGGUUUAAAGGGUGCGUAGGCGGUCUUUUAAGUCAGCGGUGAAAGGCUGUGGCUCAACCCUAGCAUUGCCGUUGAAACUGGGAGGCUUGAGAAUGUUUGAGGCAGGCGGAAUGCGUGGUGUAGCGGUGAAAUGCUUAGAUAUCACGCAGAACCCCGAUUGCGAAGGCAGCGUACCAAGCCAUGACUGACGCUGAGGCACGAAAGCGUGGGGAUCAAACAGGAUUAGAUACCCCUGUAGUC
Molecule: ribosomal RNA, 460 nt
Filed under: uncultured bacterium
Lineage: Bacteria
Description: partial 16S ribosomal RNA
Rfam family: Bacterial small subunit ribosomal RNA
Source: RNAcentral